RNAcentral lists this microRNA precursor (206 nucleotides) under Oryza sativa Indica Group (long-grained rice). Its description in RNAcentral is "MIR812 microRNA precursor family". It matches the Rfam family "MIR812 microRNA precursor family". Lineage: Eukaryota; Viridiplantae; Streptophyta; Magnoliopsida; Poales; Poaceae. The record is from Rfam by way of RNAcentral.
UAAAAAAACAAACCCUGGUUUUUGUGCCCAACGUUUGACCGUCCGUCUUAUUUGAAAAAAUUAUGAAAAAAAUUAAAAAGACAAGUUACGCAUAAAAUAUUAAUCAUGUUUUAUCAUCUAACAACAAUGAAAAUACGAAUUAUAAAAAAAAUUCAUAUAAGAUGGACAAUCAAAGUUGGACACGGAAAUUCAGGGUUUGCCUUUUU